AUGGCUCUCCAGAGCCCCCUUGACGCUCACCUCGAUGGAGGUCCGCUUUUUCCUCUUGCGCCCCUGCGCUGCGAUCUUGUCUAUGCUCGUGGGGCUGCCCGAGGACGAGUCCGCCUCCUCCAACCACUUGUUCAACAAAGGCUUCAGCUUGCACAUGUUCUUGAAGCUCAGCUGCAGGGCCUCAAACCUGCAGAUGGUGGUCUGCGAGAACACGUUGCCGUAGAGGGUGCCCAGCGCCAGCCCCACGUCCGCUUGGGUAAAUCCCAGUUUGAUCCGGCGCUGCUUGAACUGCUUGGCGAACUGCUCCAGGUCAUCCGAGGUCGGCGUGUCCUCGUCCGAGUGCGGGUCGUGGUGCGCGCCGGGGUGGCCCGGCGGGCCCUGCGGGGGCGGCGGCGGCGGCGGCUGCUGGUGCGGGUGCGAGUGCGGGUGCGGGUGGUGGUCGGCGUGGUGCGGCUCGUCGUGCGCGUCCCGCAGGCCGUGGUGGUGCAGCCCCGCCGGCUGCCCGCCGGCGCCCAGCAUGCCGUUCACCGUGAAGCUGGGCUGCGAGUAGAGCAAGCCGCCGUUGGACGCUCCCAUGGAGGGCGGGAGGUGCGCGGCGGCCGCGGCGCUGCGCCAUGCCCCGGGCCCCGGGUGGUGGUUGGCGGCGUGGUGCACCAGAUGCGGCGGCCGCUGCUGCUGCUGCUGCUGUUGCUGCUGCUGCUGCUGCUGUUGCUGCUGCUGCUGCUGCUGGUGCUGCUGCUGCAGGGCGCCCGGCCCGUGCAGCUCGUCGCCGCGGCCGCCCUGCUGCACCACCACGGAGGGCUUGAUGUCCGGCUGGCCCAGGGGGCUGGUGGACCACGGGGAGCCGUCGCCGCCGCCCCCGCCGCCGCCCCCGCCCCCGCCGCCGCCGCCGCCGCCCCCGCCGCCGCCGCCGUGGGACAGCGCGGUGAUCCACUGGUGAGCGUGGCUGAGCGGGUGCCCGUUGCUCUGCAGCGCGCCGUAGUCGCCCUGCACCAGGCUCUGAGCCUCGCGGUAGCCCCCCGCGCCCUGCUGCAUGCCGCCCGGCGGCUCGGCGUGCACGAUGGAGGCGCUGGAGGCAAGUUUCCGGAAUGUGGGUCCCGGUGA
RNAcentral lists this long non-coding RNA (1104 nucleotides) under Canis lupus familiaris (dog). RNAcentral describes it as "lncRNA (ENSCAFG00040005243.1)". The record is from RNAcentral. Lineage: Eukaryota; Metazoa; Chordata; Mammalia; Carnivora; Canidae.